RNAcentral lists this transfer RNA (75 nucleotides) under Bradyrhizobium sp. CCBAU 051011. RNAcentral's name for it is "tRNA-Thr". It matches the Rfam family "tRNA". From Rfam's summary of the family: Transfer RNA (tRNA) molecules are approximately 80 nucleotides in length. RNAcentral also lists the same sequence under 3 other names. The record is from RNAcentral. Lineage: Bacteria; Pseudomonadati; Pseudomonadota; Alphaproteobacteria; Hyphomicrobiales; Nitrobacteraceae.
GCCGGCGUAGCACAGCGGAAGUGCAGGGCUUUUGUAAAGCCAAGGUCGGGAGUUCGAUCCUCUCCGCCGGCACCA